This 540-nucleotide ribosomal RNA is filed under the name Triticum aestivum (bread wheat). RNAcentral describes it as "partial small subunit ribosomal RNA". The record is from RNAcentral. Lineage: Eukaryota; Viridiplantae; Streptophyta; Magnoliopsida; Poales; Poaceae.
AUGCGUCAAGCGUUCCAGUCCAAUAUGUUUAAUUUCACAGACAAGCUUAUGGCAUGCUUAGCAGAGAGUUGCACUUGUUGUAAGGCACAUGGGAACAAAAAAUGCAUAUUGGAUAAUGAAGGAACAAAUACUUGUGAUGAACCCCCUCAUGUAUCAACAAAUCAAACUCAAUUGAGCAUGCCGCUAGUCAGCAAGAUUGGACCCCGACUACCAACACCAGGCAACCCUGGAGGUUGCAUGUCUAUCAAUAGUUCCGUGUCUAGGAAAAGGGAUGGCAGUUUAUCAUCAAGCAUACAGUCGGGCACAGCAAAGAAAACAUGUUCACGCGAGACAGGGACCGCCCUCGCUGCAACACCAACAUGUGGGCAAGAACCACUCAAUAAUAUCCCCACAUCUCAGGAUGCAACCGUUAAGGAAAUUGCAAGCAAAAUUGUUGCUUUUUAUGAUGACCUUACAGCCAUCUUGGUUAAUUACUAUGCUGAGAUAUGUCCAGCCCCGGCUUCAUAUUGUUUGGAUCAACCAUCGAUGGAGCACCUAUGA